RNA transcript from Drosophila albomicans, 9036 nucleotides. It is a transcript of the gene named arginine-glutamic acid dipeptide repeats protein, with no coding region annotated. The record is from RefSeq and is a predicted model, not a curated record. The transcript has 16 exons. NCBI's taxonomy places the organism in Eukaryota, Metazoa, Arthropoda, Insecta, Diptera, Drosophilidae.
GUUGUUCAUCGAGAGUCGCAAAAUGGUGGCUUCUGCUAUACGCGGAGAAAUUUUGUUGUACCAUUAAGAACAGAAAAAACACGCAUUUGUGGUAAUAAAAUAUAGUGAAUUAAUCGUGUAAAACAUUAAAAAGGCCCUGCAAUUGGAAUACGCGUGUGGAAGUGUGCACAAAUCGUGUCUUUUUUGUGGGAAGACUGCGAAAAUAUUUCUGAAACUCUUCUCCUCGGUAGGCAGCAAUAAAAAAACGCAAAGCAAGCAAGCGAAGUGCGUGAGUGUUAGUGUUGGUGUUAGUGUUUGUGUGUAUGUGAGUGUGUAAGUGCUUGUGCAUGUGUAUGGCGAGCGUGUGCGUGUGUGUGUGUGCGCAAAGUGUAUGCAAAAAAGAAGAAGACAAAACAGAAGAGCAUUAAAAAACGUAUUGUUGCCCACUACUACUGACAACUUUUACGCGGCGCACACACAACGACGACAACGAAGUAGCAGCCGCAGCAGCAACAAAAACCAAGCAAACCAACAACAACGACGACGACAGAAAAUUUACAAUUCUCAUUGUCUCUCUCUGUCUCGCAAAUCUGUGCUUUGUGCAAAUUAACCAAAAUAUACAUUUCCGGCUGCCCAAAUCAUCCCCCUCCUGCUCUAUCCGCCCCCUCCUUCGCCCACACUUUCUGUGCAUUAAGCAAGAACAACUCCAACAACAGCAAGGAAUUGCGUCGCAGUUAACGCCUCAGCAUCAACAUCACCAAGUAACGGGACCCGGCUAAGACAACGACAACGAUACCCGACCCAAGUGGGAGCUAGAGCGAGAGGCAACACACAUUUAUAUUGGAUUCAUGUUGAAUUUUCAUAUCAUAGCGGGCAUAAAAAGGCUUAACACUGGACCGGAAGCGUGUUUUUAAAGGGUGAUGGCGGCCUCCACUCAAGGAGAAAUACGAGUGGGUCCCGGCCACCAGGUAAACGAUGUCUAUGCAAAACUGCCCGAUUAUAAUCCAAUCUCAAGCUUCCCCGUUGACAAGGAAACCGAUGAACGUGAACUAGAGGAAACAAGAUGGAGUCCAGGCGUUGUGGCCGAUGGCGACUUGUUAAUGUUUCUGCGUGCCGCACGCUCCAUGGCUGCAUUUCAAGGAAUGUGUGAUGGCGGUUUAGAAGACGGUUGUUUGGCUGCCAGUCGCGACGACACAACAAUUAACGCACUCGACGUGCUACACGAUUCUGGCUACGAUCCAGGCAAAGCUCUACAAGCGCUCGUAAAGUGCCCCGUUUCGAAGGGCAUUGACAAGAAGUGGACCGAGGACGAAACGAAAAAGUUCAUCAAGGGUCUUCGCCAGUUUGGCAAAAAUUUCUUCAGGAUCCACAAGGACCUGUUGCCGCACAAGGACACACCGGAGCUGGUCGAAUUCUACUAUCUGUGGAAGAAGACGCCCGGCGCCAACAACAAUCGCCCCCAUCGGCGACGCAGACAGAGCGCAUUGCGUCGCAAUCGUGUCACGCGCGCCAAUAAUAGCACACCUCCCAAAAAGGAGGACACCCCGGAACCACAAGCUGCGACGACGGCGACGGCGGCGGCGUCGGCUGCAGACACGGCUGCGAGUCGCUCAUCGCCCGCUGUCUCCAAGGAGGAGAACAGUUCUCUCACCGAGGACGACGCCAGCGAGUGUGACAGUGAUUCGAGUCUGACCAACAAAAGGGAUGAAUCACCCUCUAGGAUGAGGACGCGUAAUAAACAACAGAAUAACAAUAACAACAACAACAGCAGCAGCGCCAGCAAUGCAUCCGGUGGUGGUGGCGUUGGCGGUGGAGGAGGUGCCUCCGCUGCUGCUGCAGCUGCCGCUUCGGUUAAUGCCUCUGGCAACACUGGCAGCGGCGGCAAGGAUCAAUCCUCGGGUGGCGCUGGCAAUGCCAACAGCAGUUCGGUAGCCAACGGCAAACGGCCCAAGCGGGGCUCUGAGACGCCAGACGCUGCGGCAGCUGCCGCCUCGGUCGAUAGUCCCAAGACGCCGACCAAGAGCGUGGCGGAGGGAUCCAGCAAUAAGCGCAAGGGCGGCAAACAGGAUACGCCGAACAAGAAGAAGCGCACCGAGACGGAGACGAACAGUAGCAGCGAGCAGACGAACAACAGCAACGACGACAACGCCAUCAAGGACACCAUAAAGCAACGCAAGCGUCCCGACAGUCCGGUCGAGAGCAUGAACUCCGAUUCACGUCCGGAUUCGGUGCUCGACGAUGGCGAAUCGAAUACAACGGACACGGACGGACGCACAGCGGAGCAGCAGUCCAGCAAGGAUGGCAAAGAGCUCAACUGCAAGGAGGAGAGCGCUGUGACGUUGCCGGGCGAGUUGGAUGCUAAGUCAGAGUUGAACGAGAAACCAAUCAAAAUGGAAACAUCCUGCGCCGACGACAGCAAAGACACCAUCAAGAACAUGGACGAGGAGACGAAUAUUCAGGCACCGACCAGCAUUCAACCGCUUAGCUUGAAGCCCACACACGUUGAUGGGCUGAUGAAGGAGUCCAGUUCCUUGGAGGCGCCACCAGUGGUCGCCGCUGUGGCGCCCAUUGCCAUGAAGGUGCCCACAAUUGCCACCGUUGAGGCGUUAAAUGCGUCUGUGGAUCGUGAUCGCAAGGAGUCCAUCGAGAAGAUGGACAUUUGCGAGAGCGAUGCCGCGCGUGAUCCCGAGCUGCUCAAGAAGCUUGCCAGCAUAAAGCAGGAGGCGUCACCUCAACAACAACAGCAGCAACAGUUGCAGCAGCAGCAACAACAGCAGCAGCAACUGCAACAACAACAGCAGCAGCAACAACAACAGCAACAACAGUUGCCCAUUGUGCCGCCCGUCUCGGCAGCAGCGGGACCACUGCAGGAGCCCGUCUACAUCAAGAAGGAACCAAUGGAGGACUCCAUGGACGCCACAUGCAAUCAAAACAGCAACGAGCCCCAAGAUCUCAAGGUGAAAAUUGAAAUCAAAAACGAGGAUCACAAGAUCAACACCAGCGGCAUGCCGCCCACCAGCUCAGCACCGCCGCUGCCCAAUUCCCAGCUGGUUGGACUGCAUCACAGUUCCGCCGAUGCCCUCGGCGCUGAGCCGCUGCAUCUGCAGCACUUGCAGCAUGGUCCGCCACCACAGGCGCCGCCUGGCUACCUCAUUGAGGGGCAAUUAAAGUACGGGCCGCCGGGUUCGGCGCCGCCACAGCCGCCGCCGCAGCUGCACAGUGAUCCGGGCAGCGCAGGACCGCCAGUGCCGCCCCAGAAGUAUCCUGGCGAUAUGGAGCUGAAGUACAACGAGGCCGCCGUCAAGUUCGAGGCCAGUGGCAAAUUUGCGCCACAGGAACUCAAGUAUCCGGUGCCGCCUCCGCUGGACGCCCUGAAGUACAGCCAAGAGAUGCAGGCAGCAGCUGCUGCAGCGGCCGCUGUAGGCAAGUACGAUAUGAAGUACAUGAUCGAGCAGCAAGGCAAGUAUCCGGUGGAAUUGGCGCCACCCAAACCUGGCUACCAGGAGGCGCUCAAGAUACCCGACGUCAAGCCGGGCUUUGGCCACUUGCCGCACAACAUUGGCUCGCCCUUGGACGGCAGCGGUCCUGGGCCGGGCCACAAAUAUGCGCCCGCCGGCCAGCCUGGACCGCCAGGCCCUCUGGAUCCGCAGCAACAGCCACCAGGAGCGACGCCGCCACCAACGAUUGCCAUGCCCAAGCCGCACUAUCAGCACGAUGUCCAAACACCGCCACUGGGACGACCCUUUGAGCCAGCCGGCCUUAUGCUCAAGUACGGUGAUCCGUUGGCUGCCAAAUAUGGGCCGCCACAGCCGCAGGAUUUGAAGUAUCCCAUGCCACCCGUUUCCGCUGCCGGCGGCGAGAAUUUGAUCAAGUCUUCGCCGUAUGGUCCGCCGCCAGAGAGUCCUAUUGAUGCAUCGGCACGCUCGACACCUGGCCAGGAUAGCCAGGGCAGCAAUAGCAACAGCAACUCGCAGCCACCGACGUCACAGUCGCAAGUGCAAACGCAGCCACAGCAAUUCCAGUCGCCACAUCCGUCGCCGCAUAUGCCUUCGCCCGCUGGCGGCGGCCUGCCACCCGGCAUGCAUCCACAAAAUCUCAUCUCCCCGCACGGUCACGGACCACCGCCGCCCAAUACAUCCGGCGCUGGUCCCGCGCCCCAACCGCAGCCACCGACAUCGCUUCAUCAACCGGUGGGAGGUAGCUCGGUGCCGGGCCAGGGACCGCCCAGCCUGCAGCAUGGUCUGCCCCCAGGCGGUCCAAUUGGUGUGCCGCACUCGCAGAUGUCCUCGAUUGCCUCCUCGCUACCGGGCACGCUCUCGUCGCUGGGCGCACCCACGCUCUCGACGAUGGCACCCUCGCAUCCCAUGCACCCGCAUAUGCAUCCACAUCAGCAUCCGCAUCUGCAAACGCUACAGUCGCUGCAUCGUCCACAUCCCGAUCUGCCGCCCGCGAUGCAUCCGCAUGCACCGAUGCCAAUGUCGCUGCAAGCCCCAGGACCGCCGCCACCGCACAGUCAUGCACAUCCCUUGGCGCCCGCGCAUGCCCAACCAUCACAAGUGGGUCCGGGACCCGGCGGUCCUGGACCAGCGGGCACAGUGCGCACGCCAUCGCCGGCUCAGCAACAGCAGCUGCCUCCACGCAGUCUGCACGAGCCGCCGCCCACGUCUCGGGAACCGCCUUCAUCGCACACAUCGACGGCGCCAUCGAUGGCCAGCGCUGUGAACUCGGGGCCAGGCCAAGGACCCGGACCGGGACCAGGACCAUUGCCGCAUCAGUCACCGCAUGCACAUCGCACAUCGCCGCUGCCCGGUCUCGCGCAUCCGGCUGGCCUCAUCGGUCAUCCCAUGGCCAUACAUCCGCAUUUGCCGCACCUGCCGCCAGGUCAUCCGGCGCACGCAGCUCUUGCGCAUCCCGGUCACCAUCUGCUCUCGCAUUCAAUAGCCGGUCUGAGUCAUGGCGGUGGUCCCAUUGCUUUACUUGCGGGUCCGGGCGGUUUGAGUGGCUUGCCGGAGUCGGCGCUGAGUCGCCGCACGCCGCCCAGUCAUCUGUCACAUCCGCAUGCUUCGUCGGCACCCACAACGCCUCACUCGGCGGCCAUCUCAACGAGCAUGGCGCUGACCACCACACCCAGCACGGUGCCAUCGUCCGCUUUCAGUCGCGCCAGUCCCAGCGUUCAACUCACAAGCGGUUCCGCUCCCGGAGGUCCUGGUGGACCCGGUGGCAGCAACAGCAGCACACCGAACAACUCCUCCUCCGCCGCUGCAGCUGCUGCGGCCGCUGCAGCAGCGCAUCGUGCUGCCUCGCCAGCAUCGAGUGUGGGCAGCCUGAGUCGUCAGAGUCCGCUGCAUCCGGUGCCGCAGUCCCCGCUGAGUCAUCAUCCCUCAUCGUCAGCGCUCUCCGCUGCAGCGGCAGCCGUGGCCGAGCGAGAUCGCCAUGCGCUACUACGUCAGCAGUCGCCGCACAUGACUCCUCCGCCGGUGUCAAGCGCCUCCGGUCUGAUGGCCAGUCCGCUGAGCAAGAUGUACGCACCGCAACCGGGUCAACGUGGUCUGGGUACCUCGCCGCCGCCGCAUCUGCGUCCCGGCGCAUCACCGCCAGUUAUACGGCAUCCACAGAUGCCGCUGCCAUUGCCACUUAUUGCGCCGGGCGGUGGCAUACCCCAGAUUGGUGUGCAUCCUGGACAGUCGCCGUAUCCGCAUCCGUUGCUGCACCCCUCGGUCUUCUACUCGCCACACCAUCAUAAUCCAUUCAACUCGCCCUACGGCUAUGCGCCCUACGGACCCAGCUUCCCCACCUACAUGAAACCGCCACCGCCAGCCGGUCCCCUUGAUCCGGCUGCCGUCAUGGCUGCCCAUCAUGCUGGUCUGCCCGGUCCGCCGCCCCAAGCGCGUCAGGAUGAGCAGAAUGCCGCCGCCGCAGCAGCUGUGGCUGCGGAGAAGCAGCAUUCAGCAGCAGUGGCAGCGGCCGCAGCAGCAGCGGCACAGCAACAACAGCAGCACAAGCCGCCACAGCAGCCGCAGCAACAACAGCAGCAGCAGUCGCAAGCACAGCAGCCAGGAGGUCCGCCACAGAACAAGCCGCCCACGCCAAAGACACCACAAGGCCCCGGUGGCGUGGGUGUUGGUCUGGGAGGUCCUGGCACGCCUACUGGACUACCGCCUGGUGCAUAUCCAGGUGCGCAUAUGCCGGGUUAUCCGCCGCCACCACAUCCGUCGCCGUUUGCGCCGCAGGAUGGACAGCCGCAUGGCCUCAAGCCAACCUCGCACAUGGAUGCGCUACGUGCUCAUGCGCAUUCUGCCAACUCGGCGGGUCUGGGCGGUCCACAUCAUCCAACCGAGCCAUUGCCCAUUGACAUUGAGCCGGAUCCGGAGCCAGAGAUACCCAGCCCCACACACAAUAUACCGCGAGGUCCCAGUCCCGAGGCCAAGCCCGACGACACUGAAUGCCAUCGCUCGCAGUCGGCCAUCUUUGUGCGUCAUAUUGAUCGUGGCGACUACAACUCGUGCACGCGUACGGAUUUGAUCUUCAAGCCGGUGACGGACUCCAAGCUGGCGCGCAAACGCGAGGAACGCGAUCGCAAACUGGCUGAAAAGGAGCGUGAGCGACGUCAGCAGCAGCAACAACAGCAGCAGCAGCAACAACAACAGCAGGCCGCAGCCGCACAACAAGCAGCGCAACAAGCCAAGCUCAAAGCGGAAUUGAAGCCACCAUAUGCGGAUACGCCCGCCUUGCGUCAGCUGUCGGAAUACGCGCGUCCACAUGUCGCCUUCAGUCCUGUUGAGCAGAUGGUGCCUUAUCAUCAUCCAAUGAGCCCCAUGUAUAGCAGAGAGAGAGAAUUGGAGGAGAUCAAGAACGCACAAGCGGCCGCAGCGAGUCAAUCGCGACUGGAUCCGCACUGGAUGGAAUACUACAGACGCGGCAUACAUCCCUCGCAAUUCCCGCUGUAUGCAAAUCCGGCGAUUUCACAAAUGGAACGCGAGCGUUUGGGCAUACCGCCGCCACAUCAUGUGGGCAUGGAUCCGGGCGAGCAUAUGAUACGAUUGACGAGAGAAUAUCAUGCACACUCUCAUACUCAUUUACAUUUGCCUUUGCAUCCACAGCCGCAACCACCGGAGGCCGGUUUCCAACUGCCACCGAAUGUUGGUCAAUAUCCACGGCCAAAUAUGCUUAUACCUAGGGAGCCGCAUUCGGAUGUUUUGCUGAGGAUGUCCUAUGCAGAUCAACUACAGUAUUUACAGGCCGCCGAAUUUCAACGUCAAUCGCUGCACGAGCAAUACUUCAGACAACGGCCCAGAUAAGUGGACUAAAGAGUGCUUAAAAAGAGAGAGAGAGACAGUAACUGGCAGGCAAGCAGGCUAACAGCAAUUGUAGAAUUCAAUCCCCAAGCAACUGAACAAAGACAAAAUACUCUUGGCGUGUCAACUGAGAGGAAAAUGCUUUGUGUGUGAUUUUUGUGUUCAAACGUUUACAUUUUGCUUUUCUACUGCAAACCACAAAAACAUCAACAUCAACUACUACUACAACAACAACAGCAACAAAAAAGAACAACAAUUAAAUAAGCACAUAUUAUAAACCAAAACAAGAAGCAACAAAAACAACAAUAAUAAUAUGUACCCCCAGGCUAUGUAACUAGCAACUUUAAGUUGCGCAACGCUUUGUCCAGUUUAUAUGUAAAAAAAAUCAGCUGCGUUAAGCGAAGCCUGGAAACUGCAGCUAAGAAACAAACAAAAUCCUCUUACUGACAAGGAAUCAAAAUAAGCAAAAACAAAAUGAUGACAACCUGAUGAAGGAGAUAUAUAAGAAACUAAAUGAAACAAGCAAACAAAACAUGAUGGUCGCAAUAUUUUAAGUAUCGUCUUUAUAGUGUAUAGUGUUAACAGAUGUAAACAAAAUGAAAAGCGUGUUAAUUAUCGUUUAAGCUUACGAGAAUUGAUGAUUAAGGCAAAUUGGAACAAAAUCAACAACAACAACAAAACUUAGCACACAAAUUUUUUAAGGUUUUCAAUGUGCAUAAUGUGCAACACACACAUUUUCAGAUUGUUGCACCACUUUGACUAAAUACUAAGCUCUAUUCAAAUCAAAUUAACUAGACACACUUGCAAUUAGCUGAAAGAAAACAAGAGCAAAACCAAAACACACACUAACACACAUUAAGAAAACCUUGUUAGAAACAUUGCAAGGACCUUUAGUAUAUAUUUAUGUAUAUGCCGUAGAGUUUUAUGCUAUCACUUCCUCGAUCCGGAAGAUAGAACAAUGCGCCUUUUUCCAGACCAACACAUAGCCCCGUAUAAUGGGGCUCGUUCGAGCUCUUAAUUGUCGCUACCUAUAAACUAUAUAACUGCAACAGUAACUAAUUUGGCAUGAAUGUAUAUGUAAUUUAAAGUUAUUAUACUUCCAGCCACAAUUAAACUAUAUAUAUAUAUAUAUUUAUAUUUUGUAACAUUAGUACGCUUGCUGCUUAUCCUGGAGUCUUGAAACCUUUUUUCUUGUGUUGGCUUUCUCGCUUUGCUUACUUACUACUCAUUAAUUUAUUAUUUUUGCUAUAACUAGAGUAUUAUAACUAUUAUCGAAGAAAUCAAAGCAACAAAAACAUGUUUGUAUAAAAAAGGAAACUAAAAAAUAACAAAUUAUUAGAGAAUAAGUGAUAAAUUUAAAUAUGUGAAUUAUGAAUGCGGUUUUCAAAGCAAACACAAAAAAAAAACAAAGCGAGCAAGUAAUUUGUAGAAAUCGUCCCCUCCCCCCAAAAAAAAUUCAAUCCAUGUACUAUAUUUACAUAUAUGAAGAGAGAAGGCAGCCCGCGCAUUUGUAGCAGCUGCAGUUUUUCGAGUGCUUAAUUUAUAUUAUUAGUAAUUUAUACACAACAUAUUAUAUAACAAUGAUUCGAUGAGAUGCAUGCAUUAUAAUACAAAUUAAUAAAUCUAUAUGUCAAUGACAAGGAUUCUAUUAACUAUAGGGCCAAUAAAACGAAAAACAAAAACACAAGAAAAAAUGAAACCCACACAUACACUGCGAAAAUAUAUAAUAUAUUUAAAAGCGUGCAUUAUACUAUAAAAUGAA